GGGCGCUGGGAGGCUGGACGGCCCUUCCCGGCUUCUUCCCUCCGAGCACCUCCGAGGGCGCGGAUAGCUACGAGCCCGGGGAGGAUCUCUCGUUCGCCAAGUGCGGGCGAUUGACUUCUGCCCCUUCCCCACUGAACGGCCGUGCCUUUGCCACCCGAGCCUCCAUGCAGGCGGCUUCCAGAAUGUUCCAGCUACUUCCCCUGCUGAGCCCGGGGAAAGGCAGCUCGAGGCCAACCGAACUCCUCGUGCCGGUUUCUGGAGGCUGGAGGAGAAACCCACAGCAGAGUGUGGGCUCAGAAGGAGCAGAAUCAUCGAAACCCCAAAUAGCACGGCUCUAACUCCUACUUGUGUCUCGUGUUUAGGAUUGCAGUGAUGUGGAGAGCCGGAGGUGCCCCGGUGGCGCGGGGAUGGAGUCAGGAGAUGCCCAGGAGGAGGAUAUCGCCUCAUCUGCUGCUCCAACAAGCCCAGGCCACCUGGCAUGGGAGGGCGCAGGCAGAGCAGAUCUGAGUCACCUCGGACACUCAGAUCACUGUGAGCCUGACUGUAUACAAGACCAAACAGCUCCCAGUCUUCAACUAGGAAUUGAAGCAAUUUUCAACAGGACGCUCAACCAAUGUGAAAAGGGAUAAUAACAAGGCAGAUACACAGAAAGCAAUAAAUGGGAAGAAAAUAUUUGGGAAUUUAAGCAGAUGCAGACAAAAGCUGUGUGAAGGAGAGGUGUCUGUGUUGGAAGUGUGAUAAUGAAUGGCACAUUGAGAACACAACCGACUCUUAAUAACUGUAACAACUGGUGUUCCCUGUUCGGCAGGAUGGGGAGGGAGAGUGUCUCCAGUGCAAAGAAGUGAGUUAUUGAGGUAACCUUGAUUCCACAAAUGUAUAACACAAGUAAGUGACAGUUGCUUCUUGUGUGCGUGGCAGUAGAUUAUGGAACGAGACAGACGGAGCCUUCAGUACCUCUUUAGUAUGGGUUUUAUUGGGGUGAAGAAAAACACCAGAAAAUAAGCUUGUAAGGUUACAAUAUGUUCUUAGUAUUACUUGUGUUGUUCUUGUAUUGUUCUACAUUAAAAAUAACUCUGACGAGUGUUUUACAUUAAGAAAAAAAACAAAACCACACAACUAGAACUUGGCAAAAAGAAGAAAAAGUGUUGUAACUCAGAUCAUCCAUGAAUAUGACAUGUAUUUUGACAACUCUGGGAAUGAUUUUUACGCUUACGUUCAUUGAAUACUUGCAUAGGAGGGCUUUACCUGUAGUUGACACUGUCCUGAAGAACGAGCAUUGUGUUGAACUAGUGAGAUGUAGGGGAAGAUUUUGUGAGGUUAAAAAGGCAGAGGGGACUUAGAGAGGAUUUGUUCUUUGAUCCCGGAGAUAAGAGACCAGACUUGCACAGACGCUCAGCCCGACUUCUGCAGCUCGUUUGCUCUCACUGUACCUGGGAUAACUGGGAAGCCUGGAUGGCAGCCAAACACAGUGCAUUUUUAUUCGAGGCAGUCUGAGCUUUUUAGUUUGUAAUGGUUUCCUGUGCAUUUAUUUUUUUCCCAAAGCUGGACAGUUCUGUAAGCUGCAUUGGUGUCAUGGUGCUAAGGGCACUGGUUGUGGUGCUGGAAGAAUCACGGUGGGGACGAUUCCUCUAUCUCUCUGACACAACUCUAACACAGCAAUUAAAUGCGCAGUCCGGGUGUGGGGGAUGAAGUAUGAGAUAAAUGCACUACAGAGAAAGAUAAAGAGACUGUUACGUGAAGGGCAGCUCCAGGUUGCCAUUCACUUCUCCAAAACUGAACUCUGGGCUGCAUAAGGUUUUUGGAUGAGCCCUGCACAGCAACAGUCACCGCUGCCUGAAUGUGAGCAUAGGACAGCUCAGAUGCCCUUCUGCUCCUGUCCCCACAGGAAAAUCAGCCCUUCUUCAAUAAAAUUCAGGUACUUUCUUUGCACACGACAAAAAGAGACCUUCAGUGCAUUGCACAAUAAGCCUAUGUUCAAAUCUGAGCAAGGGUG
Long non-coding RNA from Centrocercus urophasianus (Greater sage-grouse), 1993 nucleotides. RefSeq lists it as uncharacterized. The transcript has 3 exons. Lineage: Eukaryota; Metazoa; Chordata; Aves; Galliformes; Phasianidae. The record is from RefSeq and is a predicted model, not a curated record.